UACGUAGGGUGCGAGCGUUAAUCGGAAUUACUGGGCGUAAAGCGUGCGCAGGCGGUUUUAUAAGCCCGAUGUGAAAGCCCCGGGCUCAACCUGGGAAUGGCAUUUGGGACUGUAAGGCUGGAGUAUGGCAGAGGGGACUAGAAUUCCUGGUGUAGCAGUGAAAUGCGUAGAUAUCAGGAGGAAUACCGAUGGCGAAGGCAGGUCCCUGGGCCAAUACUGACGCUCAUGCACGAAAGCGUGGGGAGCAAACAGG
Molecule: ribosomal RNA, 253 nt
Filed under: uncultured bacterium
Lineage: Bacteria
Description: partial 16S ribosomal RNA
Rfam family: Bacterial small subunit ribosomal RNA
Source: RNAcentral